AGCGUGCUUGGGCGAGAGUAGUACUAGUAUGGGUGACCCCCUGGGAAGUCCUCGUGUUGCACCC
Molecule: ribosomal RNA, 64 nt
Filed under: Byblis filifolia
Lineage: Eukaryota; Viridiplantae; Streptophyta; Magnoliopsida; Lamiales; Byblidaceae
Source: RNAcentral